GACGAACGCUGGCGGCGUGCUUAACACAUGCAAGUCGAACGGAAAGGCCCUGCUUUUGUGGGGUGCUCGAGUGGCGAACGGGUGAGUAACACGUGAGUAACCUGCCCUUGACUUUGGGAUAACUUCAGGAAACUGGGGCUAAUACCGGAUAGGAGCUCCUGCUGCAUGGUGGGGGUUGGAAAGUUUCGGCGGUGGGGACUGGACUCGCGGCUUAGCAGCGUGGUGGUGGGGUAGUGGAUUACCAAGGCUUUGACGGGUAGCCGGCCUGUGAGGGUGACCGGCCACAGUGGGACGGAGAUACGGCCCAGACUCCAACGGGAGGCAGCAGGGGGGAAGAGUGCACAAUGGGCGGAAGCCUGAUGCAGCAACGCCGCGUGCGGGAUGACGGCCUUCGGGUUGUAAACCGCUUUCGCCUGUGACGAAGCGUGAGUGACGGUAAUGGGUAAAGAAGCACCGGCUAACUACGUG
This 468-nucleotide ribosomal RNA is filed under the name uncultured bacterium. Its description in RNAcentral is "partial 16S ribosomal RNA". It matches the Rfam family "Bacterial small subunit ribosomal RNA", at positions 28 to 507 of the family's 1533-position model. The record is from RNAcentral.